Molecule: ribosomal RNA, 529 nt
Filed under: uncultured bacterium
Lineage: Bacteria
Description: partial 16S ribosomal RNA
Rfam family: Bacterial small subunit ribosomal RNA
Source: RNAcentral
UGGGGAAUAUUGCACAAUGGGCGAAAGCCUGAUGCAGCAACGCCGCGUGAGUGAUGAAGGUCUUCGGAUUGUAAAGCUCUGUCUUUUGGGACGAUAAUGACGGUACCAAAGGAGGAAGCCACGGCUAACUACGUGCCAGCAGCCGCGGUAAUACGUAGGUGGCGAGCGUUGUCCGGAUUUACUGGGCGUAAAGGGUGCGUAGGCGGAUGUUUAAGUGAGAUGUGAAAUACCCGGGCUUAACUUGGGUGCUGCAUUUCAAACUGGAUAUCUAGAGUGCAGGAGAGGAGAAUGGAAUUCCUAGUGUAGCGGUGAAAUGCGUAGAGAUUAGGAAGAACACCAGUGGCGAAGGCGAUUCUCUGGACUGUAACUGACGCUGAGGCACGAAAGCGUGGGUAGCAAACAGGAUUAGAUACCCUGGUAGUCCACGCCGUAAACGAUGAGUACUAGGUGUAGGAGGUAUCGACCCCUUCUGUGCCGCAGUAAACACGUUAAGUACUCCGCCUGGGAAGUACGAUCGCAAGAUUAAAAC